Molecule: ribosomal RNA, 484 nt
Filed under: uncultured bacterium
Lineage: Bacteria
Description: partial 16S ribosomal RNA
Rfam family: Bacterial small subunit ribosomal RNA
Source: RNAcentral
GGGGGGGGGGGGGGGGGGGGGGGGGGGGGGGGGGGGGGGGGGGGGGGGGGGGCGUGCUCCUGGGUUCGGCGGCGGGCGGGUGAGUAGGGCCUAGGAAUCUGCCUGGGAGGGGGGGAUGACGUCCGGAAACGGGCGCUGAUACCGCAUACGUCCUGAGGGAGAAAGUGGGGGAGCUUCGGACCUCACGCUAUCAGAUGAGCCUAGGUCGGAGUAGCUAGUUGGUGGGGUAAAGGCCUACCACGGCGACGAGCCGUAACUGGUCUGCGAGGAUGAUUAGUCACCCUGGAGGUGAGACACGGUCCAGAGUACUAAGGGAGGCAGCAGUGGGGAAUAUUGGACAAUGGGCGAAAGCCUGAUACAGCGAUGCCGCGUGUGUGAAGAAGGUCUUCGGAUCGUGAAGAACUUGAAGUUGGGAGGAAGGGCAGUAAGUUAAUACCUUGCUGUUUUGACGUUACCAACAGAAUAAGCACCGGCUAACUUCGUG